Molecule: microRNA precursor, 96 nt
Filed under: Nicotiana sylvestris (wood tobacco)
Lineage: Eukaryota; Viridiplantae; Streptophyta; Magnoliopsida; Solanales; Solanaceae
Description: MIR6152 microRNA precursor family
Rfam family: MIR6152 microRNA precursor family
Source: Rfam by way of RNAcentral
UGGACAAAUUAUUGUAUUCGAUUGUAUUCAUGGCGCGAAAUAUGGGAUUACACUGUUUGUAAACGGAAAGUGAAUCAAUUAACAUAAUAGACUCCU